CCAGAGUUUGAUCCUGGCUCAAAACGAACGCUGGCGGCGUGGCUAAGGCAUGCGAGUCGUACGGACCGUUUAUUUGGGUAACUAAGUGGACGGUUAGUGGCGGACGGGUCAGUAAUGCAUGGGUAACGUACCUCGGACACAGGGAUAGUGGCGGGCUUCGGCCCUUUAGCGAAAGUGCCGGUAAUACCUGAUAACAUCCAUGGAUGGCAUCUUCCGUGGAUCAAAGGGUGGGGACCUUCGGGCCUACUGGUCUGAGAGCGGCUCAUGUCCUAUCAGUUUGUUGGUGGGGUAACGGCCUACCAAGACAGAGACGGGUAGCGGGACUGAGAGGUCGGCCCGCGACAUCGGGACUGAGACACUGCCCGGACACCUACGGGUGGCUGCAGCAACGAAUAUUCCGCAAUGGGCGCAAGCCUGACGGAGCGACGCCGCGUAUGGGAUGAAGUCCUUCGGGAUGUAAACCGUAAUAGUUUGUCAGCAAGCAAUCCGGGUUAAUACCCCGGGGCGUUGAGCAGCAGACGAAAGGGGCGGCUAACUCCGUGCCAGCAGCCGCGGUAAGACGGAGGCCCCGAGCGUUGUUCGGAAUCACUGGGCUUAAAGCGCGUGUAGGCGGGUCGGCGCGUACCUUGUGAAAGCCCUCGGCUCAACAGAGGAAUUGCUGGGUAUACGGCCGGUCUUGAGGCAGGUAGAGGCACCUGGAACSUYAGGUGGAGCGGUGAAAUGCGUAGAUAUCUAASGGAAUGCCUGUGGCGAAAGCGGGGUGCUGGGCCUGUCCUGACGCUGAGACGCGAAAGCGUAGGGAGCAAACGGGAUUAGAUACCCCGGUAGUCUACGCUGUAAACGAUGCGCACUAGGUACGAGGGUCUCUGACGGCAAUCGUGCCGAAGCUAAAGUGAUUAGUGCGCCGCCUGGGGAGUACGGCCGCAAGGCUAAAACUCAAAGGAAUUGACGGGGGCUCACACAAGCGGUGGAGCAUGUGGAUCAAUUCGAAGCAACGCGAAGAACCCUACCUGGGUUUGACAUGCACGGAUGCUCUUCCUGAAAGGGGAGUAGGCUGCCUUCGGGUGAAACGUGCACAGGUGCUGCAUGGCUGUCGUCAGCUCGUGCUGUGAAGUGUCGGGUUAAGUCCCAUAACGAGCGAAACCCUUGUCGCUAGUUGCCAGCGGGUCAUGCCGGGGACUCUAGCGAGACUGCCGGUGUCAAACCGGAGGAAGGUGGGGACGACGUCAAGUCAUCAUGGCCUUUAUGCCCAGGGUGUCACACGUGCUACAAUGGGGCGGUACAGAGCGAAGCGAAGCCGCGAGGCCAAGCAAAUCGCAUAAAACGCCUCUCAGUUCGGAUUGGGGUCUGCAACCCGACCCCAUGAAGCUGGAAUCGCUAGUAAUCGCGUAUCAGCCAUGACGCGGUGAAUAUGUUCCUGAGCCUUGUACACACCGCCCGUCAAGUCAUGGAAGCCGGGAAUACCCGAAGUCCCACCUUGCGUGGGCCGACGGUAGGCUCGGUGACUGGGAGUAAGUCGUAACAAGGCAACCGU
This 1534-nucleotide ribosomal RNA is filed under the name uncultured bacterium. RNAcentral describes it as "bacterial SSU rRNA". It matches the Rfam family "Bacterial small subunit ribosomal RNA". The record is from RNAcentral.